UCCGGUUUGUCACCGGCAGUCUCAUUAGAGUGCUCAACUGAAUGUAGCAACUAAUGACAAGGGUUGCGCUCGUUGCGGGACUUAACCCAACAUCUCACGACACGAGCUGACGACAACCAUGCAGCACCUCGGCUGGCUCCCUUGCGGGUCAUCCCGUAUUUCUACAGGACUAACACCAGUAGUUCAAGCCCAGGUAAGGUUCUUCGCGUUGCGUCGAAUUAAACCACAUGCUCCACCGCUUGUGCGGGCCCCCGUCAAUUCCUUUGAGUUUCAACCUUGCGGCCGUACUCCCCAGGCGGCUCAUUUAAUGCGUUAGCUACGGCGCGGAGGGGGUCGAUACCCCCCACACCUAAUGAGCAUCGUUUAGGGCUAGGACUAC
Molecule: unclassified non-coding RNA, 379 nt
Filed under: uncultured bacterium
Lineage: Bacteria
Description: contains 16S-23S intergenic spacer region
Source: RNAcentral